This 497-nucleotide ribosomal RNA is filed under the name uncultured bacterium. RNAcentral describes it as "partial 16S ribosomal RNA". It matches the Rfam family "Bacterial small subunit ribosomal RNA", at positions 28 to 507 of the family's 1533-position model. The record is from RNAcentral.
GAUGAACGCUGGCGGCGUGCCUAAUACAUGCAAGUCGAGCGAACGGACGAGAAGCUUGCUUCUCUGAUGUUAACGGCGGACGGGUUAGUAACACGUGGAUAACCUACCUAUAAGACUGGGAUAACUUCGGGAAACCGGAGCUAAUACCGGAUAAUAUUUUGAACCGCAUGGUUCAAAAGUUAAAGACGGUCUUGCUGUCACUUAUAGAUGGAUCCGCGCUGCAUUAGCUAGUUGGUAAGGUAACGGCUUACCAAGGCAACGAUGCAUAGCCGACCUGAGAGGGUGAUCGGCCACACUGGAACUGAGACACGGUCCAGACUCCUACGGGAGGCAGCAGUAGGGAAUCUUCCGCAAUGGGCGAAAGCCUGACGGAGCAACGCCGCGUGAAUGAUGAAGGUCUUCGGAUCGUAAACCUCUGUUAUUCGGGAAGAACAUAUGUGUAAGUAACUGUGCACCUCUUGACGGUACCUAAUCAGAAAGCCACGGCUAACUACGUG